RNAcentral lists this ribosomal RNA (465 nucleotides) under uncultured bacterium. RNAcentral describes it as "partial 16S ribosomal RNA". It matches the Rfam family "Bacterial small subunit ribosomal RNA", at positions 28 to 507 of the family's 1533-position model. The record is from RNAcentral.
GACGAACGCUGGCGGCGUGCUUAACACAUGCAAGUCGAACGGGAAGGCCCUGCUUGCAGGGUACUCGAGUGGCGAACGGGUGAGUAACACGUGGGUGAUCUGCCCUGCACUUCGGGAUAAGCCUGGGAAACUGGGUCUAAUACCGGAUAGGAGCCAUUUUUAGUGUGAUGGUUGGAAAGUUUUUUCGGUGUAGGAUGAGCUCGCGGCCUAUCAGCUUGUUGGUGGGGUAAUGGCCUACCAAGGCGGCGACGGGUAGCCGGCCUGAGAGGGUGGACGGCCACAUUGGGACUGGGAUACGGCCCAGACUCCUACGGGAGGCAGCAGUGGGGAAUAUUGCACAAUGGGCGCAAGCCUGAUGCAGCGACGCCGCGUGGGGGAUGACGGCCUUCGGGUUGUAAACUCCUUUCGCUAGGGACGAAGCUUUUUGUGACGGUACCUAGAUAAGAAGCACCGGCUAACUACGUG